UGGGAAGAGCUGGCAGGGAGCGGCGGUAAUACGUGGGGGGCAAGCGGUAUCCGGAAUUAUGGGGCGGAAAGUGCGCGUAGGCGGUUUUUUAAGUCUGAUGUGAAAGCCCACGGCUCAACCGUGGAGGGUCAUUGGAAACUGGAAAACUUGAGUGCAGAAGAGGAAAGUGGAAUUCCAUGUGUAGCGGUGAAAUGCGCAGAUAUCAGGAGGAACACCGGUGGCGAAGGCGGCGACCUGGUCCUAUACUGACACUCAUACACGAAAGCGUGGGGAUCAAACAGGAUUAGAUACCCGUGUAGUC
This 301-nucleotide ribosomal RNA is filed under the name uncultured Lactobacillus sp. RNAcentral's name for it is "bacterial SSU rRNA". It matches the Rfam family "Bacterial small subunit ribosomal RNA", at positions 495 to 795 of the family's 1533-position model. Lineage: Bacteria; Bacillati; Bacillota; Bacilli; Lactobacillales; Lactobacillaceae. The record is from RNAcentral.